Molecule: ribosomal RNA, 440 nt
Filed under: uncultured bacterium
Lineage: Bacteria
Description: partial 16S ribosomal RNA
Rfam family: Bacterial small subunit ribosomal RNA
Source: RNAcentral
CCUACGGGCGGCAGCAGUGGGGAAUAUUGCACAAUGGGGGAAACCCUGAUGCAGCGACGCCGCGUGAGUGAAGAAGUAUUUCGGUACGUAAAGCUCUAUCAGCAGGGAAGAAAAUGACGGUACCUGACUAAGAAGCCCCGGCUAACUACGUGCCAGCAGCCGCGGUAAUACGUAGGGGGCAAGCGUUAUCCGGAUUUACUGGGGUUAAAGGGAGCGUAGACGGCAGCGCAAGUCUGGAGUGAAAUCCCAUGGCUUAACCAUGGAACUGCUUUGGAAACUGUGCAGCUAGAGUGCAGGAGAGGUAAGCGGAAUUCCUAGUGUAGCGGUGAAAUGCGUAGAUAUUAGGAGGAACACCAGUGGCGAAGGCGGCUUACUGGACUGUAACUGACGUUGAGGCUCGAAAGCGUGGGGAGCAAACAGGAUUAGAUACCCCAGUAGUC